CCUACGGGGGGCAGCAGUGGGGGAUAUUGCACAAUGGGGGGAACCCUGAUGCAGCGACGCCGCGUGGGUGAAGGAGCGUUUCGGCUCGUAAAGCCCUAUCGGCAGGGAAGAAGAUGACGGUACCUGACCAAGAAGCCCCGGCUAACUACGUGCCAGCAGCCGCGGUAAUACGUCGGGGGCACGCGUUAUCCGGAUUUACUGGGUGGAAAGGGGGCGCAGACGGCAAUGCAAGCCAGGAGUGAAAGCCCGGGGCCCAACCCCGGGACUGCUCUUGGAACUGCAUGGCUGGAGUACAGGAGGGGCAGGCGGAAUUCCUAGUGUAGCGGUGAAAUGCGUAGAUAUUAGGAGGAACACCGGUGGCGAAGGCGGCCUGCUGGACUGUGACUGACGUUGAGGCCCGAAGGCGUGGGGAGCAAACAGGAUUAGAUACCCCAGUAGUC
Molecule: ribosomal RNA, 440 nt
Filed under: uncultured bacterium
Lineage: Bacteria
Description: partial 16S ribosomal RNA
Rfam family: Bacterial small subunit ribosomal RNA
Source: RNAcentral